UCCCAGGUGACUAAAUGGUAAAAAAUCUGCCUGCCAAGCAGGAAACACGGGUUUGAUCCCUAGCUUGGGAA
Molecule: transfer RNA, 71 nt
Filed under: Bos taurus (domestic cattle)
Lineage: Eukaryota; Metazoa; Chordata; Mammalia; Artiodactyla; Bovidae
Also listed under: 2 other names
Rfam family: tRNA
About the family: Transfer RNA (tRNA) molecules are approximately 80 nucleotides in length. Their secondary structure includes four short double-helical elements and three loops (D, anti-codon, and T loops). Further hydrogen bonds mediate the characteristic L-shaped molecular structure. tRNAs have two regions of fundamental functional importance: the anti-codon, which is responsible for specific mRNA codon recognition, and the 3' end, to which the tRNAs corresponding amino acid is attached (by aminoacyl-tRNA synthetases). tRNAs cope with the degeneracy of the genetic code in two manners: having more than one tRNA (with a specific anti-codon) for a particular amino acid; and 'wobble' base-pairing, i.e. permitting non-standard base-pairing at the 3rd anti-codon position.
Source: Rfam by way of RNAcentral